GAUGAACGCUGGCGGCAUGCCUAAGACAUGCAAGUCGAACGGAGUGGUCCAAUGAAGGCUGAGUGCUUGCACAAAGUUGGAUUUGGGUUUCCACUUAGUGGCAGACGGGUGAGUAACACGUAGGUAGCCUACCUCAAAGUCUGGGAUAACAGGACGAAAGUUUUGCUAAUACCGGAUGAUUUGUAGACAGAUAACUAUCUAUACUAAAAGAAGCGUUUGCUUCGCUUUGAGAUGGGCUUGCGGUGUAUUAGCUAGUUGGUGAGGUAAUGGCCCACCAAGGCAACGAUGCAUAGCCGAGCUGAGAGGCUGAACGGCCACACUGGGACUGAGACACGGUCCAGACUCCUACGGGAGGCAGCAGUGGGGAAUUUUGGACAAUGGGCGCAAGCCUGAUCCAGCAAUGCCGCGUGCAGGAUGAAGGCCUCGGUUGUAACUAGCUUUGUACGGUAACGAAACGGUAGAGCUCUAAUAAAGACUUGCUAA
Molecule: ribosomal RNA, 483 nt
Filed under: uncultured bacterium
Lineage: Bacteria
Description: bacterial SSU rRNA
Rfam family: Bacterial small subunit ribosomal RNA
Source: RNAcentral